UGCAAUACUAAACCAGCACCAAGGAACUAAAAUCCCCAACAGCCCCAAAAUGAAAAGACCCAGUGCUGAUUACAGGAGAUCCAAGUGCAGGGGGGUGGUGUCUAAUAUAGGACAUUUAGUCUCAAAACAUCAUUGCACAACUUUUUCCAGACAAUACUCUCGAUUUCUCCAUGCCUCUCAACACUGCAUGGAGUUAUACAAAGGCCAUCCACAACUACUCGGCUAAGAGCUUACUAGACUAUUAUGGCACACAGCAAGCAAAAAAAUAAACUUACUCAGUGCUUGCAGAGCCAUUUUGCUUGCCUGCAACUCAAUUACCAAUGUUUCAUUUUUCAUCUUUCCUUUUAUGGGAGAGUGGAGGAAGAAGGGAUGCACAUAAUCCAGACAAUCCUCUCCUUUACAAGCUGCAGGGUGACCGUCAGUCGCAGUAACAGACCCUUUUGAAAAGGAAACAGAUUGCACUGUUUCGAUGGGAUGUCGUUGCAUUUUGACACCGGAGAACAUGCAGCUCCCGUGGACUGACUCACCGGCCAAGCGAAACUGAAGGGGAGUACAAUCCUGCGUUCGCUGUUGCUGUUGCCCGCCUUCAAGUUAAAGGUAUUCCCUCCGAUGACCGGGGUCGAGGAGAAUCCGAAGCUGCAGGGUCCGCCGGGGGAGACACGGGACUGAUACUCCUUGAGGCAGACUUUGAAGAAAGUGUUACACUGAGCCCGCAUGCACUUGCGGUCUUGGUUUCUGGCGCUCCCUUCGCAACAGUUCCCAUUCUGCAACUCGCCGUUAACAUUCUGCAUAAAGUUUAUCUGCAACUCGAACUGCCCCGAAGCCUGGGAAAGCUGCAGGAGGACAAUUAUUUUUGUUUUUUUUUAAAAAAUAAAAGCGACAAGUUUUAAAAAUAAAA
Rhincodon typus (whale shark) is the source of this 898-nucleotide long non-coding RNA. RefSeq lists it as uncharacterized. The transcript has 2 exons. Lineage: Eukaryota; Metazoa; Chordata; Chondrichthyes; Orectolobiformes; Rhincodontidae. The record is from RefSeq and is a predicted model, not a curated record.